RNAcentral lists this ribosomal RNA (645 nucleotides) under uncultured Actinomycetes bacterium. Its description in RNAcentral is "bacterial SSU rRNA". It matches the Rfam family "Bacterial small subunit ribosomal RNA", at positions 8 to 668 of the family's 1533-position model. The record is from RNAcentral. Lineage: Bacteria; Bacillati; Actinomycetota; Actinomycetes.
AGAGUUUGAUCAUGGCUCAGGACGAACGCUGGCGGCGCGCUUCAUCCAUGCAAGUCGAACGAAAAGCCGGAGCUUGCUCCGGUGGAAAGUGGCGAACGGGUGAGUAACACGUGAGAAACCUACCCCGGAGAUGGGAAUAGCCCAGGGAAACCUGGAUUAAUGCCCAAUACCCUGCCUGCACCUCAUGGUGCGCUCAGGAAACGCUUUUGUGCUCCGGGAGGGUCUCGCGGCCUAUCAGCUUGUUGGUGAGGUAACGGCUCACCAAGGCAUCGACGGGUAGCUGGUCUGAGAGGACGAUCAGCCACACUGGGACUGAGACACGGCCCAGACUCCUACGGGAGGCAGCAGGAGGGAAUAUUGCGCAAUGGGCGAAAGCCUGACGCAGCGACGCCGCGUGGGGGAAGAAGGCCUUCGGGUCGUAAACCCCUUUCAGCAGGGACGAAAUUGACGGUACCUGCAGAAGAAGCGCCGGCCAACUACGUGCCAGCAGCCGCGGUAAUACGUAGGGCGCAAGCGUUGUCCGGAUUCAUUGGGCGUAAAGGGCUCGUAGGCGGUUUGGUAAGUCGGGUGUGAAAACUCAGGGCUCAACUCUGAGACGCCACUCGAUACUGCCAUGACUAGAGUCCGGUAGGGGAGUGUAGAAUU